Gorilla gorilla gorilla (western lowland gorilla) is the source of this 558-nucleotide long non-coding RNA. RefSeq lists it as uncharacterized. The transcript is spliced from 4 exons. The record is from RefSeq and is a predicted model, not a curated record. Lineage: Eukaryota; Metazoa; Chordata; Mammalia; Primates; Hominidae.
GCAAACAAGCUCACCCCUGGGGCACCUCCUGAUGCCCCGGAGACAGGGCUUCUCAGACUGCAGGACAGACUCCUGGGACUCACCUGGUGAUCUUUUUCGAAUGCAGAUUGAUGCCACUACUUGCUUGAGAGAGAGAGAGAGAGAGAGACAGACAGACAGCGAGAGGGAGAGAGAGAAGACAAUAAUGUUCAAUAUAUAUAUGGUCAUACCCGGAGCCCUAAACAAGACUUUCGAAAAGAUGCUCUGCAGUAAACUUGCAUUACAUUUGCAAACAGAAAAAAAUAUUAUUUUGGAGAAAAGGAUCUAAGUGCUUCAUGUAAUGGCUAUAUUCAGAUAUAUUUGUCUUUUCUGAGAAGAAAGCCAGCAGUCCACCCAGAUAAUAUCAAGAAGCUGAAACCCACCAAAUCACUGCAUCUGGACAAUGAGAUGCCAGACUCCUCACCGUCAUGGUCAUAAUUGCUUAACUGACCACUUGCUUCCUGUUGACCAACUCCUCUUCCUUACUGCUCCCUAAUUCCUGUUUUCCCACACAAGGUUACAUUUCUUCCCUGCUAUAUA